AAAGACCCCAACAAAGUGAUACCUUCCCUCCACCCAGCUCUCAAAUUGCUAUUUCUUCAUCAAUGAAGGUUUAUCUAUGCAUUGCUAUUUAUAAAUGGACUUCUUCGUAUCCUGCAUUUGCUGGCAGCCGGAGUGAUCAAAAUCAGAGCAAACUUUGUUGUUACUCAUCUUCAUCAUGUCAGAGAUGGAAGGAGGGAAAUGGGAGGAUUUGAAUAUGGAUUGCUUGGUGAAUGUGUUUGAGAGAGUUAGAAUUGAAUCACUGCUAUUGGAUGUUCCCUUCACGUACAGGUCAUGGUACAAAGCCACGCUCAGCCCUCUGUGCUGGCGCCAACUUGAUUUUUCUAAACUCUCAUUUGAUUCAUGGCCUUAUGAUGAAUCCAGAUAAAGAUUGCUUGAUAAAUAGCAAUUACAUAAUAAAUUGUCUGUCACUGCAUUCAUCAAGUUUGUAGUUAAGCGUAGUGCUAGAUCUGCAACUUUUCUGUCGCUUCCAAACUGUUGCACAGAGGAAGCAUUGCUUUAUGUUACAGAUAAGUAAGUUCUACAAA
This is a long non-coding RNA of Camellia sinensis, 545 nucleotides long. RefSeq lists it as uncharacterized. NCBI's taxonomy places the organism in Eukaryota, Viridiplantae, Streptophyta, Magnoliopsida, Ericales, Theaceae. The record is from RefSeq and is a predicted model, not a curated record.